UACGUAGGGUGCGAGCGUUGUCCGGAAUUACUGGGCGUAAAGAGCUCGUAGGUGGUUUGUCGCGUCGUCUGUGAAAUACCGGGGCUUAACUUCGGAGCUGCAGGCGAUACGGGCAUAGCUUGAGUGCUGUAGGGGGGACUGGAAUUCCUGGUGUAGCGGUGAAAUGCGCAGAUAUCAGGAGGAACACCAAUGGCGAAGGCAGGUCUCUGGGCAGUAACUGACGCUGAGGAGCGAAAGCAUGGGUAGCGAACAGG
Molecule: ribosomal RNA, 254 nt
Filed under: uncultured bacterium
Lineage: Bacteria
Description: partial 16S ribosomal RNA
Rfam family: Bacterial small subunit ribosomal RNA
Source: RNAcentral